AAGUCAUAACAGCACAUGACUGUGCAAAACUCUCACCACCAUGACCAAAGAUUGAAGCCCUCCACAGAAUGCCAUUGUCACUCAAUAGUGCUAUGUUUUUCUAAGGAGAUGUAGGA
This 116-nucleotide small nucleolar RNA is filed under the name Peromyscus maniculatus bairdii (prairie deer mouse). RNAcentral describes it as "Small nucleolar RNA SNORA25 (ENSPEMG00000002762.2)". The record is from RNAcentral. Lineage: Eukaryota; Metazoa; Chordata; Mammalia; Rodentia; Cricetidae.